UUUUUUUUUAUUAUUUUUUUAAAUAGCUAACUAUAAAUGAAAUGGAGAGAUAGAGAGACAGGCUGCUGUGAAGAUACCCAAGGUUUUGGAGACAAAAAAAUAACACUGAGGGCUACUGUUGGCCUUUUGACAGAGGAGAAGAAGAAACCCAGAGGUUGGGUCAGGGUUGGGAUGUCUCCCCGGCCUUAGGCGAGUCGUUUGGUGCAAGAUUUGACAAAAGGGGACGUUGGGAAACACUCCACGAGCCAGUGCAUGUGAUGCUGUUGGUAUGGCUGUGGUGAAACGUGGAGACUAACGGUUUGGAUUUUGGUGCAGGCUUUCUGGGUUCUGACUCGUCGUCGGUUGAUGAAGUGUUUUGGACUAGUGUUAUAGUCCACCUUGUUUUGACAGAUGGUCAACAAACAUUGAUAGGGCAAUUUUGAAUAGUGUAGAAGUGUAGUGGAAGAAAAGAAAAAUUAGGCCUUUUUAUACUCUGAUACCAUGAAAAAUGGAAGAGAGAUGAGAAUUUUGGGGAAUAAUUGCUUGAUUAUCCCCUUAAGCUAUGGGGUGUGUAUACGUACACAUUUUUGGUCAUCCUAAAAGGAAAAUAUACAAAAUGGCCCUAAUCAAG
This 610-nucleotide unclassified non-coding RNA is filed under the name Hevea brasiliensis (rubber tree). Lineage: Eukaryota; Viridiplantae; Streptophyta; Magnoliopsida; Malpighiales; Euphorbiaceae. The record is from RNAcentral.